UACGUAGGCAGCAAGCGUUGUUCGGAGUUACUGGGCGUAAAGGGUGCGUAGGCGGCUUCUUAAGUCUGGUGUGAAAUCUCCCGGCUUAACUGGGAGGGUGCGCCGGAAACUGGAGUGCUCGAGCGUGGGAGAGGAAAGCGGAAUUCCUGGUGUAGCGGUGAAAUGCGUAGAUAUCAGGAGGAACACCAAUGGCGAAGGCAGCUCGCUGGGACGUGACUGACGCUGAGACGCGAAAGCGUGGGGAGCAAACAGG
RNAcentral lists this ribosomal RNA (253 nucleotides) under uncultured bacterium. RNAcentral describes it as "partial 16S ribosomal RNA". It matches the Rfam family "Bacterial small subunit ribosomal RNA", at positions 524 to 776 of the family's 1533-position model. The record is from RNAcentral.